RNAcentral lists this ribosomal RNA (1925 nucleotides) under human gut metagenome. RNAcentral describes it as "bacterial LSU rRNA". It matches the Rfam family "Bacterial large subunit ribosomal RNA", at positions 831 to 2841 of the family's 2925-position model. The record is from RNAcentral.
AAUCGAACUCGGAGAUAGCUGGUUCUCCCCGAAAUAGCUUUAGGGCUAGCCUCAUAUUAGAUACCCGGAGGUAAAGCACUGAAUGGCCUAGCGCCCGAGAGGGUAGCGAAGCCUAUCAAACUAAGAAUGCCGGAGUAUUGAUGUAUGGGAGUCAGACAGUGUGAGAUAAAUCUCAUUGUCAAAAGGGAAACAGCCCAGAUCUACAGCUAAGGUCCCAAAUUGUAUCUAAGUGGAAAACGAUGUGGAAAUACGCAGACAACCAGGAUGUUGGCUCAGAAGCAGCCACUCAUUUAAAGAGUGCGUAAUAGCUCACUGGUCGAGCGUCUCUGCGCGGAAAAUUUAACGGGGCUAAGAUACAAACCGAAGCUUAGGCUGCACGAAAGUGCGGGGUAGGGGAGCGUUGUGUAAGCGGAGAAACAGUAGCGUAAGCGGCUGUGGAGUUUACAGAAGUGAGAAUGCCGGAAUGAGUAGCGCGAAUGUGGUGAGAAUCCACAUGGCCGGAAACCUCAGGUUUUUGGAGGAAGGUUCGUCCGCUCCAAGUUAGGCGGGAGCUAAGGUCAGGCCGAAAGGCGUAGCCGAUGCACAGACGGUAGAGAUUCCGUCCCCACCGAAAGAUUUAAGCACAGGGACACUUUUAGAAGGUCGGAGCCAGGUGUUGGUUCUGGUAGUGAUCGAGGGAAAUAUAGUACCGAAGUCCGGCUGGAUAAGAGGCGAGAAAAGCUGUGUGUAUAUCUAAGGUGCCCGUACCGCAAACCGACACAGGUAGGUAGGAAGAAGAUUCUAAGGCCAACGGGAGAAGGGUUGUUAAGGAACUCGGCAAAUUGACCCCGUAACUUCGGGAGAAGGGGUGCUCCAGAGAUGGAGCCGCAGAGAAUCGGCCCAAGCAACUGUUUACCAAAAACACAGGUUUGUGCUAAAUCGAAAGAUGACGUAUACGAGCUGACGCCUGCCCGGUGCUGGAAGGUUAAAAGGAGAUGUGCAAGCAUUGAAUUGAAGCCCCAGUGAACGGCGGCCGUAACUAUAACGGUCCUAAGGUAGCGAAAUUCCUUGUCAGGUAAGUUCUGACCCGCAUGAAAGGCGUAAUGAUUUGGGCACUGUCUCAACAGCCCGCCCGGCGAAAUUGUAGUACCGGUGAAGAUGCCGGUUACCCGCGACAAGACGGAAAGACCCCAUGGAGCUUUACUGUAGCCUGAUAUUGGGUUUCGGUGUUGCAUGCACAGGAUAGAUGGGACGCUGGGAAAGAAGCGCUUUGGCGUUUCUGGAGCGGACGUUGGGAUACCAUCCUUGCGACAUUGGAAUUCUAACCUGCGCCUCUGAAUCGAGGCGGGGGACAUUGUCAGGUGGGCAGUUUGACUGGGGCGGUCGCCUCCUAAAAAGUAGCGGAGGCGUUCAAAGGUUCGUUCGAUCUGGACGGAAACCAGAUGAUUGAGUGCAAACGCAUAAACGAGCCUGACUGCGAGACUGACGGGUCGAGCAGAGACGAAAGUCGGAGUUAGUGAUCCGGUGGUAUGUGAGUGGAAAUGCCAUCGCUCAACGGAUAAAAGUUACCCUGGGGAUAACAGGCUGAUCUCCCCCAAGAGUCCACAUCGACGGGGAGGUUUGGCACCUCGAUGUCGGCUCAUCGCAUCCUGGGGCUGUAUUCGGUCCCAAGGGUUUGGCUGUUCGCCAAUUAAAGCGGUACGCGAGCUGGGUUCAGAACGUCGUGAGACAGUUCGGUCCCUAUCUGUCGUGGGCGCAGGAUAUUUGAAAGGCGCUGUCCCUAGUACGAGAGGACCGGGAUGGACGAACCUCUGGUGCACCAGUUGUCACGCCAGUGGCACAGCUGGGCAGCUAUGUUCGGAUCGGAUAAACGCUGAAAGCAUCUAAGCGUGAAGCCGGCCUUAAGAUAAGAUAUCCCACUGAGUCAAUCAGGUAAGACCCCUUGA